RNAcentral lists this long non-coding RNA (771 nucleotides) under Heterocephalus glaber (naked mole-rat). Its description in RNAcentral is "lncRNA (ENSHGLG00100048269.1)". The record is from RNAcentral. Lineage: Eukaryota; Metazoa; Chordata; Mammalia; Rodentia; Bathyergidae.
AAAUAAGGAGGAGCCCCGGACCAGGAGGGGCAGCGGCCGGAGAAUCAUCAGAGCGUGCAGAUCGACAGGGAUGGGUUCGAAACCGAAACACCGAAACCAACGAAAAAUGGGGGGAAAUAAAAGCAAAGGUCUGGAGAUGUCUGGCGGCCACGAGGGGCGGGCAGCGGGCCGGGACUCUUACCAUGGCGAGGGGAGCCGCUGGCCCGCGAACCUCCUUCUCGCGGCCCCUUAUCGUGGGCAAUUUGACGCAUGAUUAUCGCGUCUAUGAAGGUGGCCGCUGUCAGGGUGGUCUUACCCAGAGAACGGAGCUCCAGUCCCUGGAUGGAAAAGGGUUUACUUUGAGUCUUUCCCCGGUGCGGGUCGGAGGCCGAGGUGGGCGCCGGCGGGUCCGGGCUGGCGUGGGGUGCGAGGGGCCGGGGCUCGCAGCUCUUGCUGGGGGAGGAGGCGGCCUCCCGGGCAGGGGGCUUGGCGAGGAAGGCAUGGCCGGUGUCUGCUCGCGGCCGCUCUGUCCGGGCGGCCCGCGGGGCCUCCUUGGGCAGCAGGACGGGCUCCACGAGGGUGGGGUAGGCCCCAUCCAGAGUGCUACCCAGCGGGCAGUGGGCGGUGGGUGGGAAUGAGGCAGCCAGGCGGACAGGAGAGGAGGUGGAGGUGGACCUGGGGGAAGAGAACGGGGUCAGGCGGCCGCCGACGACCCCGGACACGAGUCCCCACUGCCCAGGACCAAGGGACGUCCGGAUGCCCCACUGCGCCCGGAUACGUCUGCCCCUUGAC